GGGCCGCUAGCUCAGUUGGUAGAGCAACGGACUUUUAAUCCGUAGGUCCCAGGUUCGAGUCCUGGGCGGCUCACCA
Molecule: transfer RNA, 76 nt
Filed under: Desulfurobacterium thermolithotrophum
Lineage: Bacteria; Pseudomonadati; Aquificota; Aquificia; Desulfurobacteriales; Desulfurobacteriaceae
Also listed under: 5 other names
Description: tRNA-Lys
Rfam family: tRNA
About the family: Transfer RNA (tRNA) molecules are approximately 80 nucleotides in length. Their secondary structure includes four short double-helical elements and three loops (D, anti-codon, and T loops).
Source: RNAcentral